AGUCACUGACAUUAGAUACCCCUGUAGUCCAGGGUGUAAACGCUGCAGACUUGGUGUUGGAAAUCCUUCGAGGGUAUUCAGUGCCGGAGAGAAGUUGUUAAGUCUGCUACUUGGGGAGUACGUCCGCAAGGAUGAAACUUAAAGGAAUUGGCGGGGGAGCACCGCAACGGGAGGAGCGUGCGGUUUAAUUGGAUUCAACACCGUAAAACUCACCAGGGAAGACUGUUACAUGAAGGCCGAGAUGAAGACUCUGCUAGAUUUUCAG
This 265-nucleotide ribosomal RNA is filed under the name uncultured archaeon. Its description in RNAcentral is "partial 16S ribosomal RNA". It matches the Rfam family "Archaeal small subunit ribosomal RNA", at positions 718 to 982 of the family's 1478-position model. The record is from RNAcentral.